GAUCAUGGCUCAGGAUGAAUGCUGGCGGCGUGCCUAAUACAUGCAAGUCGAACGCGAGCAGCAAUGCUCGAGUGGCGAACGGGUGAGUAAUACAUAAGUAACCUGCCCUAGACAGGGGGAUAACUGCUGGAAACGGCAGCUAAGACCGCAUAGGUAUGGACACUGCAUGGUGACCAUAUUAAAAAGUGCCAAGGCACUGGUAGAGUAUGGACUUAUGGCG
Molecule: ribosomal RNA, 220 nt
Filed under: uncultured bacterium
Lineage: Bacteria
Description: partial 16S ribosomal RNA
Rfam family: Bacterial small subunit ribosomal RNA
Source: RNAcentral